Molecule: unclassified non-coding RNA, 237 nt
Filed under: Capnodiales sp.
Lineage: Eukaryota; Fungi; Ascomycota; Dothideomycetes; Capnodiales
Description: partial contains 5.8S ribosomal RNA, internal transcribed spacer 2, and large subunit ribosomal RNA
Source: RNAcentral
CGCACAUUGCGCCCCUUGGUAUUCCGGGGGGCAUACCCGUUCGAGCGUCAUUUCACCAAUCAAGCCUGGCUUGGUAUUGGGCCACGGGCGUCGACCCGGGCUUCAAAGUUGUCGGCUGGAAAGCUCUAAUCUCAGCGUCGUGGUUUAUUCAAAUUCGCUGACGAGAUGAGAAUUUCGGCCGUUAAACAUUUUUCACAGGUUGACCUCGGAUCGGGUAGGGAUACCCGCUGAACUUAA